AGAGUUUGAUCCUGGCUCAGGAUGAACGCUAGCGGCAGGCCUAAUACAUGCAAGUCGAGGGGCAGCAUAGUAGCAAUACUGAUGGCGACCGGCGCACGGGUGCGUAACGCGUAUGCAACCUACCUUUUACUGGGGGAUAGCCCGGAGAAAUUCGGAUUAACACCGCAUAAUAAGUUUUAUUGGCAUCAAUGAGAUUUUAAAUAUUUAUAGGUAAAAGAUGGGCCUGCGGCUGAUUAGUUAGUUGGCAGUGUAAGAGACUACCAAGACUGUGAUCAGUAGGGGUUCUGAGAGGAAGAUCCCCCACACUGGCACUGAGAUACGGGCCAGACUCCUACGGGAGGCAGCAGUAGGGAAUAUUGGGCAAUGGAGGCAACUCUGACCCAGCCAUGCCGCGUGCAGGAAGAAGGCGCUCAGCGUUGUAAACUGCUUUUGUCCGGGAAGAAUGAUCGCUACGCGUAGCGAGAGUGACGGUACCGGGUGAAUAAGCACCGGCUAACUCCGUGCCAGCAGCCGCGGUAAUACGGAGGGUGCAAGCGUUGUCCGGAUUUAUUGGGUUUAAAGGGUGCGUAGGUGGCUUGUUAAGUCCGGGGUGAAAGGCGGUGGCUCAACCAUCAGCAGUGCCCUGGAUACUGGCAGGCUCGAGUAAGUUUGAGGCCGGUGGAACGGGUGGUGUAGCGGUGAAAUGCAUAGAUACCAUCCAGAACACCGAUUGCGGAGGCAGCCGGCUAAGACUUCACUGACACUGAGGCACGAAAGCGUGGGGAGCAAACAGGAUUAGAUACCCCGGUAGUCC
RNAcentral lists this ribosomal RNA (793 nucleotides) under uncultured Sphingobacteriales bacterium. RNAcentral describes it as "bacterial SSU rRNA". It matches the Rfam family "Bacterial small subunit ribosomal RNA", at positions 8 to 796 of the family's 1533-position model. The record is from RNAcentral. Lineage: Bacteria; Pseudomonadati; Bacteroidota; Sphingobacteriia; Sphingobacteriales.